UCUCCGCCGCAGCCGCCCGCUCCCGCGGGAUCCGGAUCUGGCACGGGUGUGGCUCGGAGGGAGGGGGCGCUGGCCGGCCGGCCAUGGCGCGGCGGCUCCAGCGCAUGGAGCAGAGCGACGACCGUCGUGUGCCCAGGACCUUGCCCAGCUGCACCUUGGACGCAAAGGAGGAGGCGCGACUCGCCGAGGUCGACGGUGAGGCGGCGGCGCGGGCGUGGGAGAGCGUGACGGCUGAGCUCAUCGACGUGCCGCGGGAGGCCAGGCGCAACGGCGUCAGGCUCCGCGCGCCCCGCCGCCGUCCCCCUCCCUCUCCUGCUCCCCGCCGCCGCCCUCUUUCUCCUCCUCCCCUUCUCCCUCUCCGCCUGCCUUAGUCGCCCCUCCCCGCCGCCGCUCCUCUUGCUCUCCGCUGCCCCUCCUGCUCUCCGCUCCUCCUCGUCUGGUCGUGCCGCAUCCUCUUCGUCUGCCUCACGCCUCUACGUGGCCGUCCCCUUCACCACUAUCCCUCGCCGGCGCGUCGUCAUGGAUGACUUCCACGAAAUCGGCAGAGGUGGGUUCGCCACGGCGUCCGCAGACGAUCGACAUCCAUAGCCAGUGCUCCGCACCCGCGAUUGGAAGCGUGAGCCCAACUGCCCAAGCGAUGGAGAUGCCUUGGCGACCCAGGGUAGCGGUGGAUCUCGCCGCCGCCGCCGCCAGCACACACCGUCCAGUCUCCCCAGGUAAGCCGCUCCCUUCUCCGCUCCAUUCCUGUCCCAAAUGAAGGGAAAACUCCACCCUCAUCCCCACAACCCCACCCCCGAUCUCUCCUGCCAAUGGUUGGGCUCGAUGGAUCGAGUGUCUUACGUAAUUUGAUUUGCUGAGCCUGCUGUGCAUGAACCCCAUUAGCGAGGAAUGGAGGCCGCCUCGUCGGUUACGAAGACAGUGAAAGGCGCUACCGGUGUUGCCAGCGGCAACGGCCGUCACAUCUGGCCCCAGCUAGAAGACUCGAAACAGCAUGGGAGAAAAGGAAAGCUAAAAACAAGUUAAAAUGUUCCUCCAAGAUGUUCAAUAUUUGUUUGUUUAGCUUCACUAGAAUGCUCUCAAUUUAGGAUCUAGCUGCUAGCUUGAAUAUUAUGUUGAAUUUAAACAUUCCUUGCCACGGGAUUAGGAAAAGGAAAAACCCAUCUCCAUUGUUUAUCCUAAAAAGGUAUAUCAUCUUAAUUUGUAUUAAUUAUGUACAUUGGUCAUUGCGUAAGUUUGUUUUCCAAACAGGCCAUCUACUGCUUGCAGAGGUUUUCUUUUGUUUUACUUCAGUAGAGUGUAAUUUUCAUUAUUUGAUAGACAAGGUAGAUUGAGUUUUGUUUGUUUGUGCUUGCUUACAUGCUCUUUGUAAAUCUGUGUCAUUAUUUAUCUUCUUGCACUUUUAUUCACCAUAUUUUUAUUUCCUAAAUCAAACCAAUCACAAUCAUUUGUUUAAUUCUUCCAUUCCUUUUUCUCUAUGUUACUUCUGUUACGGUGUUAUCCAAAGGGAGUUACCUUUACUGGUUGACAGGUUUUAUGGAAGAAGCCAUUGUAGAUCAACAUUUUUGUGAGGAUGAGAGAUGUACCUGGAAGCCCAGGUACCAUGCAGAGAUGUGCUUGCAUGACUACAAGGGCAAGUGGAAUGCCCAUUUGAUUGACAACCCGUGCUUCAUGAUUCAUAAUCUGAAAUGAAAUGGGCACUAUCUAUAUGUGAUUUCCUUUGCAUCAGUGGGGUUUAUAUUCUCAUCCUCCUUUCAAUUCAGUUGUCUUUGCUUGAACGAAAUUAACUAAUAGACAUAUCCUCUCUGAAUUUUCUCUGUGGGGCCAUCGCUCAAAGUUGACUAGGAUAGGACAUAACCCUAUGCUUCCUUAUUUUCCAAACUUGUGGAUAGUACUAGCAUGGUGUUUAGGCCAUCUGUGCAAAGUGUAUUCAGAGUUGAGAAUUUUCUUGAAUUAGUUGUUAGGUCAGCAACACAUAAAAUGGAUAGGCCGCACAGCCUCAAAUGACAUGGAAAACCUGUAUGGUUUAUGCCCCCAUGUUUGUCUGUUCCAGCAAAGUGUUUCAACAAUCUUAGGAAAGGUAUUGAAGGACAUGAUGUUUUCUAAACUGUCAAAAUAUUUGCUUAUAAAUUUUCAGUAGGUAUGGGUACUUAUUGCACUACACUCACCGCGUAAACCCUCAUGCUUGAUCUUGCAUGCAUCUGCUAGUUGACUUGAUCUGUGCCGAAGAGGAGUAAAUAGUUGAUGGUGAUAGUUUUUAAGCUAGGAGCUUGUAACAGCCACCAAAUGUUUGAACAUUAAUUUAUGCGGACUUAUUGAAACUAUAAGCUCUGGUUUCUGAAGUCUAGCUUACUGAAAUAUAAACAUAGAAUGCAAGGUUGAGCAAUCAGGCACACUUCUACUUCUAAAAUGUUUCUUUGUUGCCUUUUUUGCUAAAGAACUGGCAGAAUGUGACCACUGUUUCACAUAUACUCUCCCAAAUUUCUUUGGUUGUAUCUUCUGGAGUGUAAUAUGAGCUGAAUGAGCAGAAGAGCAUACUCCCCCCUCUGUGCUUUGAUGUUUGUUUUUGCAGGUAAGGGUGCAUGGACAUCAAGAGCACCAUGGGGAAGCCAAACAGAGGUGUUUAGGUGGCUGUGGCCGAGGCAUUUGCAAAUUGCAACCAUCUUUCAUACUAUUGUGGAAGUUUUGUGUCUAUGCAACUGAGCAAGAGAGAAGCUGCUCAGCGUUUUCUCUGAUUGUGUUUUCAGUGUCCACUGUCUACCAAAAUUGACAGAUCAGUGUGCUUUAGGUUGUGCAGCUGCUUUUUAAUUUAUCUAUGUUAUAUAACCAACCAGAACAAUGCUGUAUCUGUGAACUGUGGGUGUGGCCAACAGGAAUACUUCGAUCCAAUUUAAAAUUUGCUAUGGUGUAUUAACCUUUU
This is a long non-coding RNA of Panicum hallii, 2917 nucleotides long. RefSeq lists it as uncharacterized. The record is from RefSeq and is a predicted model, not a curated record. The transcript is spliced from 2 exons. Lineage: Eukaryota; Viridiplantae; Streptophyta; Magnoliopsida; Poales; Poaceae.